This is a long non-coding RNA of Pezoporus occidentalis (night parrot), 1912 nucleotides long. RefSeq lists it as uncharacterized. The transcript has 5 exons. The record is from RefSeq and is a predicted model, not a curated record. NCBI's taxonomy places the organism in Eukaryota, Metazoa, Chordata, Aves, Psittaciformes, Psittacidae.
UCUGCUACAUUUUGGGAAAAAAAUCUACCUUGAUUCCCUGACACAGCAGAGGCUGUUUAUCCCAAAAAUGUUUAACACAGCAUUUUUUCCGUUCAUGUAACAUGAUUUGUACACACACAUGCAGCAUACACAGGCAUGUCGAAUAUCAGGCCAGUUUUCACUUUUUAGCUUCAAGAGCGUGUUUCUUGUCCAUAAGCCACAUGGGUUGUUUUUUUUUUUGCAGUACUUUAUUCUGAGUGACAUCUUUUUGGGGGGCACAGAAAUGUACAAGUCAAAAGACAUUUACUAUUUAUACAAAUACUUCAUGCUUACUGCUCAUAAGGAGCAAUUUAAAAUGACAAAUCGCUAUUCUAUAAAUCAGAUAUAGGCAGACAACUUACUGGACUCCUUCCAAGAUACACUGAGACAUGCACCAAAAUAUCAGCGUGUAAUUACUUUCAUUAUGUAGUCCAAUUAAUCUGAAAACAACUGAGACUGUAAAGAUCGCAUCGUGCUAAUUUUUACUGACAUAAACCCCAAUAUUAUUUAUAGAAUUGGUUGUCCUCUGUUUACUUGAUCAAAAUGUGGACUAAUCAGGCGCUGCUUUUCUAGAAAUAGUUCUUGAGUAUGGUAAUUUGCCAUCUUCUGAGAUUUUCUUUAUUUAGCCAGAACACAAGCACAUAUUUUAAUUCAUGGCAAUAUUUUAAGCUUACGUCCGAUUUAGAGCCAAUGACUUAACUAAAAAUGUUCCUAAAGACCAUUAAACAUGUAUCUGAAAGGUGUGAUCUCUUGUGUGAACCCGUGUUCUAUUUCUGGUAUUUCCAAGGUGUUUUGCUGUUUGACCACAACAUUUUUACAAGAAGAAUAAGCAAUUAUUUUGAAGUUGAAAACUAUUUUGAUGAUGAACUAAUCCUCACCUUUGACAUUGCUUCAGCGGGAGAAAGGAUAGAUGGUGGCUGUGGGCAUAUAACUGUUUUGGACCCUCUAUUGUCAAUAAUUUAGACAUUCUUUGUCUUUUGAAAGCAAUGAUUUAUCUGCCUUUAUUUGUUUCAGAAUAUGCUUCCUUCUUCCUUUAAAAUGGAGAUUCAUUUUUGCACAUCUGGAGCUCUUCAUAAAGCGAAAAGAAGUACAAUUAAUCUUAAAAUGAUAGUCUCCAGAUCACUGACACUUGACAAAGCUGUGAGUCUUUCUGGCUGGUGUUAACAGUGAACUGAGAGCUUCCCACAGACCUACCAGCAGUGACUCCUAGUUCUCUUUCCUGAAAGAAACCUCCUGGGAGGGACCUUGUCAAAACCCUGUUGGAAACACAAGUGUGCUGCAUCGACAGCACCACUGCAAUCUGCGCUCUCACUGACUUUUUCCAAGGAGCUCGGUGGAUUUAUGAGGAAAGCUGAUGCAGUGGGAAUCUCCAUGAGAUGCUCUUACCUGGCUAGAGUCCACUUUGCUAUUCCUUUCUUGAAGACCUGUGGGCCUCAUUGACUACCUGACAGGCUGCCUGUUUGAGAAAGUUCCCUUAAACCAAUGGAUGAAAGAGCCCUAGGACCUGCGAAGGGCUGGAAGAGCUUCUGUCAGCUGCCAUGGGAUUAGGUCAAACUAUACGGGAGCAGGAAGGAUGGCACUGCUCAAGACACUGGUCCAAAUUUGUACACCUGAUUGAAACUCCACAAAGCCUGAGAACUUACACAAAGAUAAUUCAUUGUUAUACUUAACGGGAGGUUGGUUGUAUUGCAUCAGGUUCCCUUUAGGUUGCAGAGUACUUGGACAAAGCAGAUUCUUGCCACACCAACAGGCAUCCUUUAAAAGCCUGGCAAUACUUCUGUAUAAAGAGAGACCACAGCUGCUUGAUUCAGAAAGCAGAUAAAAAAGUAAAUGUAUGAAUAGAGCCAAUAUGGAGUGGAAGAUGAACAAAACAAUAAAUGUAAUAGAAAAUCAA